GGCGCAGGCUGGAUGGUCGCCCCACACCUUUUUGAUAUUUAUAGACUUAAGGAAGGAUACAAUUCUUAAGCUUUUGAAUACAUAAAAGGUGCGGGGAGGAAAGUCCGGGCUCCACAGGGCAGCGUAGCGGGUAAUGCCCGUCUCCCGCACCUUUUUAAUAUUCACAAGGUUAACAGCCACAUAUCUUUUAGUCUUCGUGAAUGCAUAAAAGGUGCGGGACGGAUUAGAGCCACAGAGACGAGUCAAAUUUUGCGGAGCAAAAUUUGCUCCACAAGUUUGGGUGAAACGCGGCAAUCUCUACGCGGAGCAAAACCAAAUAGGCCUCGCUGAUAAGAAUGGCCCGUUCGAAGAAUGCGAGGCGGGUAGGUUGCGUGAUCCUCGCAGCAAUGCCAGGGCCAGAUAGAUGACCGUUGCGGUCAGCGCGAAGACAGAUCCCUCAGAUACUCCUGUUUGUCGUAUCUUCGGGAUCAAUCAGCGCUUCGCGCUGAUUGACAGAACCCGGCUUACAGGCCUGCGCCUUAU
Molecule: RNase P RNA, 522 nt
Filed under: Candidatus Omnitrophota bacterium
Lineage: Bacteria; Pseudomonadati; Candidatus Omnitrophota
Description: Candidatus Omnitrophica bacterium RNase P RNA component class A
Rfam family: Bacterial RNase P class A
About the family: Ribonuclease P (RNase P) is a ubiquitous endoribonuclease, found in archaea, bacteria and eukarya as well as chloroplasts and mitochondria. Its best characterised activity is the generation of mature 5'-ends of tRNAs by cleaving the 5'-leader elements of precursor-tRNAs.
Source: RNAcentral